RNAcentral lists this ribosomal RNA (525 nucleotides) under uncultured bacterium. Its description in RNAcentral is "bacterial SSU rRNA". It matches the Rfam family "Bacterial small subunit ribosomal RNA", at positions 777 to 1301 of the family's 1533-position model. The record is from RNAcentral.
AAUAGAUACCCAGGUAGUCCACGCCGUAAACGAUGAGUGCUAAGUGUUAGAGGGUUUCCGCCCUUUAGUGCUGCAGCUAACGCAUUAAGCACUCCGCCUGGGGAGUACGGCCGCAAGGCUGAAACUCAAAGGAAUUGACGGGGGCCCGCACAAGCGGUGGAGCAUGUGGUUUAAUUCGAAGCAACGCGAAGAACCUUACCAGGUCUUGACAUCCUCUGCCAACCCUAGAGAUAGGGCGUUCCCCUUCGGGGGACAGAGUGACAGGUGGUGCAUGGUUGUCGUCAGCUCGUGUCGUGAGAUGUUGGGUUAAGUCCCGCAACGAGCGCAACCCUUGAUCUUAGUUGCCAGCAUUCAGUUGGGCACUCUAAGGUGACUGCCGGUGACAAACCGGAGGAAGUGGGGAUGACGUCAAAUCAUCAUGCCCCUUAUGACCUGGGCUACACACGUGCUACAAUGGAUGGUACAAAGAGCAGCGAACCCGCGAGGGUAAGCCAAUCUCAUAAAGCCAUUCUCAGUUCGGAUUGU